RNAcentral lists this ribosomal RNA (519 nucleotides) under uncultured bacterium. Its description in RNAcentral is "bacterial SSU rRNA". It matches the Rfam family "Bacterial small subunit ribosomal RNA", at positions 1 to 518 of the family's 1533-position model. The record is from RNAcentral.
ACGUCUACGAGAGUUAGUAGUACUAUGGCUCAGAACGAACGCUGGUGGCGUGUUUAUACAUGCAAGUCGAGCGAGGACGGUAGCAAUACCGAGCCGAGCGGCGAACGGGUGAGUAACGCGUAAGCAAUCUGCCCCACAAUCGGGAACAACCGUGCCAACGCGCGGCUAAUGCCGGAUAUUGUAGUCUACUGCAUAGUAGGCCAACGAAAGAUUUAUUGUUGUGGGAUGAGCUUGCGUCCGAUUAGCUAGUUGGCGGGGUAAUAGCCCACCAAGGCGACGAUCGGUAGCCGGCCUGAGAGGGUGAUCGGCCACAUUGGGACUGAGAUACGGCCCAGACUCCUACGGGAGGCAGCAGUAGGGAAUAUUGCGCAAUGGGGGGAACCCUGACGCAGCAACGCCCACGUGUGGGAAGAAGCAUUUCGGUGUGUAAACCACUGUCGGAAAGGAAUAACGGAAGACUUCGGUCUUUAUGAAUGUACUUUUAGAGGAAGCACCGGCAAACUUCGUGCCAGCAGCGGC